Molecule: unclassified non-coding RNA, 240 nt
Filed under: soil metagenome
Description: partial contains 5.8S ribosomal RNA, internal transcribed spacer 2, and large subunit ribosomal RNA
Source: RNAcentral
AAGACUAUAGACCUGCGGAGUACCUGCGGAAGGAUCAUUAUAGAGUGGUAAACCUCCCGUAAAAAGGGGGGGACCUCCCGUCCUUUGCAGGCUCUUUUUUAAGGGGCUUUUUUGACUUUCUGCUUCGGUGGGGUUAUCCUACCGGAACAACUUCAAAACUCUGAAUCAAAAAAAUCGUUCUGUCCGAGGGCUUUUUUAUAAAAUAAAAAAAAACUUUCAACAAUGGAUCUCUAGAUCGGA